GACGAACGCUGGCGGCGUGCUUAACACAUGCAAGUCGAACGGUGAAGGGACUGGUUUUGCUGGUCCUGGAUGAGUGGCGAACGGGUGAGUAACACGUGAGUAACCUGCCCCCUUCUUCUGGAUAACCGCAUGAAAGUGUGGCUAAUACGGGAUAUUCUGGGUCUGUCGCAUGGUGGGCCUGGGAAAGAUUGCGCCUUUUUUGGUGUUUUUGGCGGGGGAUGGGCUCGCGGCCUAUCAGCUUGUUGGUGGGGUGAUGGCCUACCAAGGCGGUGACGGGUAGCCGGCCUGAGAGGGUGGACGGUCACACUGGGACUGAGACACGGCCCAGACUCCUACGGGAGGCAGCAGUGGGGAAUAUUGCACAAUGGGCGCAAGCCUGAUGCAGCGACGCCGCGUGAGGGAUGGAGGCCUUCGGGUUGUGAACCUCUUUCGCCAGUGAAGCAGGCCUGCCUCUUUUUGUGGGUGGGUUGACGGUAGCUGGAUAAGAAGCGCCGGCUAACUACGUG
This 506-nucleotide ribosomal RNA is filed under the name uncultured bacterium. RNAcentral's name for it is "partial 16S ribosomal RNA". It matches the Rfam family "Bacterial small subunit ribosomal RNA", at positions 28 to 507 of the family's 1533-position model. The record is from RNAcentral.